CUAAGUUUGAUGGCGACCGGCGCACGGGUGAGUAACACGUAUCCAACCUGCCGAUGACUCGGGGAUAGCCUUUCGAAAGAAAGAUUAAUACCCGAUGGCAUAGUUCUUCCGCAUGGUAGAACUAUUAAAGAAUUUCGGUCAUCGAUGGGGAUGCGUUCCAUUAGGUUGUUGGCGGGGUAACGGCCCACCAAGCCUUCGAGUGGAUAGGGGUUCUGAGAGGAAGGUCCCCCACAUUGGAACUGAGACACGGUCCAAACUCCUACGGGAGGCAGCAUG
This 276-nucleotide ribosomal RNA is filed under the name uncultured bacterium. RNAcentral's name for it is "partial 16S ribosomal RNA". It matches the Rfam family "Bacterial small subunit ribosomal RNA", at positions 79 to 353 of the family's 1533-position model. The record is from RNAcentral.